RNAcentral lists this ribosomal RNA (115 nucleotides) under uncultured bacterium. RNAcentral describes it as "partial 16S ribosomal RNA". It matches the Rfam family "Bacterial small subunit ribosomal RNA", at positions 1369 to 1482 of the family's 1533-position model. The record is from RNAcentral.
CGUUCCCGGGUCUUGUACACACCGCCCGUCACACCAUGGGAGCGGGACGUACCAGAAGUAGGUAGGCUAACCGCAAGGGGGCCGCUUACCACGGUGACGUUUCGUGACUGGGGUG